RNAcentral lists this ribosomal RNA (450 nucleotides) under uncultured bacterium. RNAcentral's name for it is "partial 16S ribosomal RNA". It matches the Rfam family "Bacterial small subunit ribosomal RNA", at positions 354 to 796 of the family's 1533-position model. The record is from RNAcentral.
GUGGGGAAUAUUGGACAAUGGGCGAAAGCCUGAUCCAGCCAUGCCGCGUGUGUGAAGAAGGUCUUCGGAUUGUAAAGCACUUUAAGUUGGGAGGAAGGGUAGUAACCUAAUACGUUGCUACUUUGACGUUACCGACAGAAUAAGCACCGGCUAACUUCGUGCCAGCAGCCGCGGUAAUACGAAGGGUGCAAGCGUUAAUCGGAAUUACUGGGCGUAAAGCGCGCGUAGGUGGUUCAGUAAGUUGGAAGUGAAAUCCCCGGGCUCAACCUGGGAACUGCUUUCAAAACUGCUGAGCUAGAGUACGGUAGAGGGUGGUGGAAUUUCCUGUGUAGCGGUGAAAUGCGUAGAUAUAGGAAGGAACACCAGUGGCGAAGGCGUCCACCUGGACUGAUACUGACACUGAGGUGCGAAAGCGUGGGGAGCAAACAGGAUUAGAAACCCUUGUAGUCC